AGCCCCAUCCGCAGUUGGCCAUAAGGCUAAUUAUAAAAACCCAUGGGUUAGAAGAUCAAACUAUUGAAGAGUGUAGGCAAAACCAUGCCCCUCUCAUCUCCCCAUGCUUGCUUUGAUCAAGAAUAUAGGCAACAGUGUUUUUCCAUAUACUAAGAAGAUAGCUUCUAUCCUUUCUGCCCACUUCCCUUACUUACUCAAGGAAGAAACAAAUUACUUACAUAAUGGAUGAGGCCAUAUACAGGGUCAUUAUACACUGACUACCUAAGCUCCUUUUGUGUUUCUCUUUCAGAGAGGUCUGCACCACAGGCCAUGUGUUCUCUCCCCAUGCAGUGGCGGUGCCUUGUGUUGGUGAAAGUCAUUACUGAUCAUUCAUCUGUAGCAAGUCAUCCCUACGUAUCUGUACACGGAAGUGACAGCACAGGGAGAAUUCUGACAAAAGAGAUGAAGGCUCCUAGGCAUGGUGGGAGAGCCAGAAGGUAAGACGGAACAGCAGCUCGAGGAGGUAGGUGAUAAAAACAAAACAGAGGAAGGAGAAGCCACA
This 541-nucleotide long non-coding RNA is filed under the name Canis lupus familiaris (dog). RNAcentral's name for it is "lncRNA (ENSCAFG00845022175.1)". The record is from RNAcentral. Lineage: Eukaryota; Metazoa; Chordata; Mammalia; Carnivora; Canidae.